GAUGAAGAACGCAGCGAAAUGCGAUAAGUAAUGUGAAUUGCAGAUUUCAGUGAAUCAUCGAAUCUUUGAACGCACCUUGCGCCCUUUGGCCAUUCCCAAGGGCAUGCCUGUUUGAGUAUCAUGAACACCUCAACUCUUUAUGGUUUUCCAUGAUGAGCUUGGACUCUGGGGGUUUUGCUGGCUCACAGUCGGCUCCUCUAAAAUGAAUCAGCUUACCAGUGUUUGGUGGGUAUCAUGGGUGUGAUAACUAUCUACGCUUGUGGUUUUUCCACCAGGUAACCUUCAGCAGUGGAGGUUCGCUGGAGCUCAUAGAUGUCUCUCCUCAGUGAGGACAGCCCUUUGAAUGUUUGAUCUCAAAUCAGGUAGGACUACCCGCUGAACUUAAGCAUAUCAAUAAGCGGAGGA
This 405-nucleotide unclassified non-coding RNA is filed under the name soil metagenome. Its description in RNAcentral is "partial contains 5.8S ribosomal RNA, internal transcribed spacer 2, and large subunit ribosomal RNA". The stretch from base 1 to 121 matches the Rfam family "5.8S ribosomal RNA", at positions 35 to 154 of the family's 154-position model. The record is from RNAcentral.